This 1059-nucleotide long non-coding RNA is filed under the name Trifolium pratense (red clover). RNAcentral describes it as "long non-coding RNA (TPRA_LNC007245)". The record is from RNAcentral. Lineage: Eukaryota; Viridiplantae; Streptophyta; Magnoliopsida; Fabales; Fabaceae.
UCCGUCAGUAUUUAAAAUACACUAAUAGUUGGUAACAUAUAGCCAUUAAUACUCAAAAUACACCAAGAGUUGGCAUUAUAAGCCACUAAUACUCAAAAUACAUCAAAAGUUGACAUUAUAAGCCACUAGUACUCUAUACACUGAAAUUCAGUUGGCAGCAUAGGCCACCAUAAUACAUAAUACAUCAAAAUGAAACUUAAAAAUCACUUGUCUUGUUCACAUUGCAUCAUUUUUGGAGUUUCACCUUCUUCUGCGGUCCUGCGUACUUUCUCUUCUUUUCCUACAAUAAUAGAUUUAUCAUUGAAUCAGUUACAAGAAUGGUUUAAAUCUAUAUAAAGUACAAAAAGUUUUAAAUUUGCAAUAAUACUUUUUUUGGUGCAGUACAAAACAUUGGCUCAGUAGUCUGUUUUUGAGAAAGCACACAAGGAACAGAUAAAAUGGGUGAAAAUAGGUCAAUUACAAACCAAACAAUAAAAAAGUAAUCAAAGAACGAUAAAAUAAAAACCUUGUACAUAGAAAACAUAGAAAAACACAUGUUCAACUCAAACCAAACAAUAAAAAAAAUUGGUCAAGACAAUAAUAAAGCANNNNNNNNNNNNNNNNNNNNNNNNNNNNNNNNNAAAACUAGGCUCACAUACAAACAAAUUGUCCCCACACAUUCAAUUAAAAAAUCAAAAGCAACAAAGGUAAAAACAGUUUCCCAAAUAAGAAAAAUAUUUCCCAGAAGAAGACAAAAGAACCAUUUUUUUUUAAUAAGCCAAUUUUUUUUAGAAUGAAAAGUACAAGAAGUACUUAUAAAAUACAAGGGAAAUCAAGCAAAACCCCAUCAAAUUCAAAAUCCUGCAAACAUAAAAAAAGCAGCAGACCAGCACCACCUAAAUCAAGCAAAACCCGAUCAAAUCCAACAAAAACACACACAGCUGCUGCUCUCAUAGAAGACAAACGAACCAUAGAAGAAAAUAUAAAAGAAAGACGAACCAUAGAAGAAAAACAAACCUUUAAGCAGUUUUUUAAACAUGACCAACCAUGAUUAUGUGAUUAUGAUAAACCCUAGCAAAU